GGUUCUAUAGUGUAGUGGUUAACAUGUCUGCUUUACACACAGAAGGUCCUGGGUUCGUGCCCCAGUGGAGCCA
This 73-nucleotide transfer RNA is filed under the name Pteropus alecto (black flying fox). It matches the Rfam family "tRNA". Rfam says of the family: Transfer RNA (tRNA) molecules are approximately 80 nucleotides in length. Their secondary structure includes four short double-helical elements and three loops (D, anti-codon, and T loops). The record is from Rfam by way of RNAcentral. Lineage: Eukaryota; Metazoa; Chordata; Mammalia; Chiroptera; Pteropodidae.